AACCUAGCACACCUGCGGUGUGUACCUGCGGAAGGAUCAUUACCGAGUUUACAACUCCCAAACCCCUGUGAACAUACCUAUACGUUGCCUCGGCGGAUCAGCCCGCGCCCCGUAAAACGGGACGGCCCGCCCGAGGACCCUAAACUCUGUUUUUAGUGGAACUUCUGAGUAAAACAAACAAAUAAAUCAAAACUUUUAGCAACGGAUCU
RNAcentral lists this unclassified non-coding RNA (209 nucleotides) under soil metagenome. Its description in RNAcentral is "partial contains 5.8S ribosomal RNA, internal transcribed spacer 2, and large subunit ribosomal RNA". The record is from RNAcentral.